This 960-nucleotide long non-coding RNA is filed under the name Gallus gallus (chicken). The record is from RNAcentral. Lineage: Eukaryota; Metazoa; Chordata; Aves; Galliformes; Phasianidae.
GGGGGGGAAGGAGAGAGGCUCCCUGGGCAAAGCACCUGUCCCGUUAGCAGGGGCACAGUCACGUUUGAGUUGAGAGCUGCCGGCGCCUUUGGUGACCAGGCUGGCGUUGUGCUGGGCGACCUCCCCGUAAGCGGGGCUCGGGUCUUUGCUGUAGUUGGCCUUUUGCCUUGCUGCUCCUUUGGCUGCCUGGGGAGCGUGGCCCCCUGUAACGGAGGGCGAGAGCCACCUCUCCGCACCUGAGUGGGAAAUGGAGCUCGCCGGGACCCCGAGGCCACCCUGUAAGCAGGGUAGUGCCGUUUCCCUGCCCCUCUUCCUCCCCCGGCCCCUCGGCAUCGUUGCCUGAUGGUGGCUUGUCAAUGCGACGGCCCCGUACUCGGGGUGUGUGUCCCAAGCUUUGGAGCCCUCUGUCCCUGAGCAGCCCGCCCGCCCUGUAAUCAGGUGUGGGGAGGCUGCAGCGUUGCAGCCGGCUGCUUUAGCCAUCCAGCUGGUGGGAGUGACCCCUCCCUGUCCCGUCAGAGGGUGCAGGUUGAGGUGCUGUUUGUGUGUGGGGUGACCUCCCCGCUCGGUGGGUCGAGGUAGCUCCCUGGGCUUCCAAAGACGAGACGUUGGUGAUGUUCUGCUGCUGCCGGGCGGGCCAGCCUGUAACUCAGGCGUUGGCGGGAGCCUCGUGCUCCGCGGGGCUUCUUGAAGAGGGUGAGGUGUGGGGGUACCGUCCUGUAGGCAGGGCUGUGUGUGCCCCCCGUGUGUGCUUGGUGAGCUGCGUUCUGAGAGACCCCCUGUACUCAGGUGGGAAUGUGGCCCCGGCCUUUCAGAGGCGCGGGGCCGUGAGAUGCGGGGUGGGGCUUGCGCCCUCCCUGGAAUCGGGGCUGGGAUCCCGACUGCGGCCUUUGGCCGUGCCGCCCCGCUGCCUGGCUGCUGAGAGUUGCUCCUGCCGCUGGGGGGGAAACCGAGCUCUGUGGC